Molecule: ribosomal RNA, 250 nt
Filed under: uncultured Gaiella sp.
Lineage: Bacteria; Bacillati; Actinomycetota; Thermoleophilia; Gaiellales; Gaiellaceae
Description: partial 16S ribosomal RNA
Rfam family: Bacterial small subunit ribosomal RNA
Source: RNAcentral
UACGUAGGGACCUAGCGUUGUCCGGAAUCAUUGGGCGUAAAGCGCGUGUAGGCGGCUUGCCAAGUCCGGUGUGAAAUGUCGGGGCUUAACCCCGGAACUGCACUGGAAACUGGCUUGCUUGAGUCCGGAAGAGGGGACUGGAAUUCCUGGUGUAGCGGUGAAAUGCGCAGAUAUCAGGAAGAACACCCGUGGCGAAGGCGGGUCCCUGGGACGGUACUGACGCUGAGACGCGAAAGCGUGGGGAGCGAAC